AGAGUUUGAUCCUGGCUCAGAAUCAACGCUGGCGGCGUGCCUAACACAUGCAAGUCGAUCGAGAAAGUGGAGCAAUCCAUGAGUAAAGAGGCGCACGGGUGAGUAACACGUGACUAACCUACCCUCGAGUGGGGAAUAACCUGGGGAAACCCGGGCUAAUACCGCAUAAUACCUACGGGUCAAAGGAGCAAUUCGCUUGAGGAGGGGGUCGCGGCAGAUUAGUUAGUUGGCGGGGUAAUGGCCCACCAAGACGAUGAUCUGUAUCCGGCCUGAGAGGGCGCACGGACACACUGGAACUGAAACACGGUCCAGACUCCUACGGGAGGCAGCAGUGGGGAAUUUUGCGCAAUGGGGGAAACCCUGACGCAGCAACGCCGCGUGGAGGAUGAAGUCCCUUGGGACGUAAACUCCUUC
Molecule: ribosomal RNA, 414 nt
Filed under: uncultured bacterium
Lineage: Bacteria
Description: bacterial SSU rRNA
Rfam family: Bacterial small subunit ribosomal RNA
Source: RNAcentral